This 661-nucleotide ribosomal RNA is filed under the name Streptomyces sp. Bt 01. RNAcentral describes it as "bacterial SSU rRNA". It matches the Rfam family "Bacterial small subunit ribosomal RNA", at positions 75 to 753 of the family's 1533-position model. The record is from RNAcentral. Lineage: Bacteria; Bacillati; Actinomycetota; Actinomycetes; Kitasatosporales; Streptomycetaceae.
GCCCUUCGGGGUGGAUUAGUGGCGAACGGGUGAGUAACACGUGGGCAAUCUGCCCUUCACUCUGGGACAAGCCCUGGAAACGGGGUCUAAUACCGGAUAAUACUUUCCCUCUCCUGGGGGAAGGUUGAAAGCUCCGGCGGUGAAGGAUGAGCCCGCGGCCUAUCAGCUAGUUGGUGGGGUAAUGGCCUACCAAGGCGACGACGGGUAGCCGGCCUGAGAGGGCGACCGGCCACACUGGGACUGAGACACGGCCCAGACUCCUACGGGAGGCAGCAGUGGGGAAUAUUGCACAAUGGGCGAAAGCUGAUGCAGCGACGCCGCGUGAGGGAUGACGGCCUUCGGGUUGUAAACCUCUUUCAGCAGGGAAGAAGCGAAAGUGACGGUACCUGCAGAAGAAGCGCCGGCUAACUACGUGCCAGCAGCCGCGGUAAUACGUAGGGCGCAAGCGUUGUCCGGAAUUAUUGGGCGUAAAGAGCUCGUAGGCGGCUUGUUGCGUCGGUUGUGAAAGCCCGGGGCUUAACCCCGGGUCUGCAGUCGAUACGGGCAGGCUAGAGUGUGGUAGGGGAGAUCGGAAUUCCUGGUGUAGCGGUGAAAUGCGCAGAUAUCAGGAGGRACACCGGUGGCGAAGGCGGAUCUCUGGGSCAUUACUGACGCUGAGGAG